AUAAAGAUACUCCUGCAUAGUUGAGGUUAAGUCCCAAAGUGCAGCCCGCUUGUUAAGGGGGAGGUGGAAUUCCUGUGA
The sequence is a regulatory RNA element, 78 nucleotides long. It matches the Rfam family "pemK RNA". The record is from Rfam.